RNAcentral lists this long non-coding RNA (146 nucleotides) under Chinchilla lanigera (long-tailed chinchilla). Its description in RNAcentral is "lncRNA (ENSCLAG00000023552.1)". The record is from RNAcentral. Lineage: Eukaryota; Metazoa; Chordata; Mammalia; Rodentia; Chinchillidae.
CUGCCAUGCACUGUUUCUCCUCUGCCAUGCCCCUCCGCCAUGUUGCCCUCCCUGCCAGCUAUUGAAGCCAGCUAUUGACUAAAACCUUCAUAACCUGUGAGGUCCCACAGGUAUCCUUUCCGGUUCAGAGAGCUUCUUUGGUGCUU